UCCUGGUGGCGAGUGGCGAACGGGUGAGUAAUACAUCGGAACGUGUCCUGUAGUGGGGGAUAGCCCGGCGAAAGCCGGAUUAAUACCGCAUACGCUCUACGGAGGAAAGGGGGGGAUCUUAGGACCUCUCGCUACAGGGGCGGCCGAUGGCAGAUUAGCUAGUUGGUGGGGUAAAGGCCUACCAAGGCGACGAUCUGUAGCUGGUCUGAGAGGACGACCAGCCACACUGGGACUGAGACACGGCCCAGACUCCUACGGGAGGCAGCAGUGGGGAAUUUUGGACAAUGGGGGCAACCCUGAUCCAGCAAUGCCGCGUGUGUGAAGAAGGCCUUCGGGUUGUAAAGCACUUUUGUCCGGAAAGAAAUCUUCUGCCCUAAUACGGCGGGAGGAUGACGGUACCGGAAGAAUAAGCACCGGCUAACUACGUGCCAGCAGCCGCGGUAAUACGUAGGGUGCAAGCGUUAAUCGGAAUUACUGGGCGUAAAGCGUGCGCAGGCGGUCCGCUAAGACAGAUGUGAAAUCCCCGGGCUUAACCUGGGAACUGCAUUUGUGACUGGCGGGCUAGAGUAUGGCAGAGGGGGGUAGAAUUCCACGUGUAGCAGUGAAAUGCGUAGAGAUGUGGAGGAAUACCGAUGGCGAAGGCAGCCCCCUGGGCCAAUACUGACGCUCAUGCACGAAAGCGUGGGGAGCAAACAGGAUUAGAUACCCUGGUAGUCCACGCCCUAAACGAUGUCAACUAGUUGUCGGGUCUUCAUUGACUUGGUAACGAAGCUAACGCGUGAAGUUGACCGCCUGGGGAGUACGGUCGCAAGAUUAAAACUCAANGGAAUUGACGGGGACCCGCACAAGCGGUGGAUGAUGUGGAUUAAUUCGAUGCAACGCGAAAANCCUUACCUACCCUUGACAUGGCCGGAACCCUGCUGAAAGGUGGGGGUGCUCGAAAGANAACCGGUACACAGGUGCUGCAUGGCUGUCGUCAGCUCGNGUCGUGAGAUGUUGGGUUAAGUCCCGCAACGAGCGCAACCCUUGUCCCUAGUUGCUACGCAAGANCACUCUAGGGANACUGCCGGUGACAAACCGGAGNAAGGNGGGGAUGACGUCAAGUCCUCNUGGCCCUUAUGGGUA
This 1125-nucleotide ribosomal RNA is filed under the name Paraburkholderia sp. RNAcentral describes it as "bacterial SSU rRNA". It matches the Rfam family "Bacterial small subunit ribosomal RNA", at positions 83 to 1210 of the family's 1533-position model. Lineage: Bacteria; Pseudomonadati; Pseudomonadota; Betaproteobacteria; Burkholderiales; Burkholderiaceae. The record is from RNAcentral.